Molecule: non-coding RNA, 3842 nt
Organism: Macaca mulatta (Rhesus monkey)
Lineage: Eukaryota; Metazoa; Chordata; Mammalia; Primates; Cercopithecidae
Source: RefSeq, a predicted model, not a curated record
GCCACAACCCCAUGAGAGAGGUUUGGUACUUCCUUAAUUUUAGAGAUUUCCUAAUUCUGAGGUUCAGAGAGGUCAUAUGUCUUCCCCACAUAGGUCAUCAGAGAGCUGGAAGCCAAGUGCCCUCCUCCACGUUCUCUCUACUGUGCCAUGUGGCUUGUGUUGAUACAGACCCUUGGGCUGGACCAAUCCUGGAAGAUCAAGAGCUGACUGGAAGUUCCUGAACACUCCCAGGAAGCCUGCCCUUGCAAGAUAUCGCCCUUCAUUCCUUGACUUCGAUGCUCCACUGGGAUUCUGAAAAGCUUCAAUUCACUGAUACACAUCGGCGGGAGCUGCUGAGCCAUUUAAGCUUUGACUAUCUCUACUUGAAAGGCAUGAGAUAAAGUUUUCCACUGCUGGAGAGGAGAGCAUGUAAGUGGCUUAGGCUCGCAACCAAUCACACUCCCUCAGCAACCCUGAGAGGGUCCUUGAAUGUUAAUUUCGUGAUUCAAAAUGAGUGGAUCAUCAACCUUCGGGAAAUUCAUUCAUCAAACAUACACUAGGUCCCUACUAUGCACCAGGCACUAGGGAGGACAAAUGAAGCUGCAGGAAAUGCCAGAGGUUUCCUCUGCUGCUUCCACACAUCACAAAGCACAUCAUCAGCUCAUACAUGGACGUGGUCUAGGCAAAUCCAAUAUCCCUAUUCUAUUUCCACUGGGCAAAGCACUCUGUGCAUCUGGGCAGAGUCAGCGGCCAAAGCCGCUCAGGAGCUCCAGGGACCACCCCCUUCCUGGGUCUGCUUCCUCCAUUUCCCUAAGGUAAAUCUUCUUUGGCAUCCAAAGCCUGUGGUUCCAAGAAGCCACAGGUCAAAACAAGCACUAGUGUGCCAGGUCACCUCUGUUAUUCCCAGUGUCGGAGAACCAUGCUCCUGCAAAGAUCUUUUCUAUGGAACCCUCGAUGGCUUCUGCAGAACUUGGAAGUAGUAACUAUGAGGGCUCAGAUCAGCCACUCAGCCUAGACCAGACUUUGGCUUUGGGGAUGGUAUUGCAAUUAAGUAUGCAAUAUGGUUUUUUGCUGAUAAUCCCCUUGCUGCUGCUGGGAGGCAGAGGCAAAGCUGCUUCUUACUAGAGAGCUUUCUUUUUAAUUUAAAACUGGACUCUUAAAGGAACAACUAACUCUUUUUGUAUGUACUGAACAUUUAGAAACUAACAUUGUAAAGGAUAAAUUUUGAACACAAAGGUCAAAUAGUUUCAUCUUAUAGAAUCUUGGAAUAGCCUGUCUGGCUAGGUGUGGGUGUGGGGAGGAGGAUUAGUGGGGAAGAAUUGCUAAGAAUCAAAGGGGAAAUAGAGGGAGCUGAGGAUGGGAGAAGGAGGAGGCAAACUCAGGAAGGAUUCUAAUUGUCCUGAGGGCCAGCCUUGUCGACGGCAACUUCUCUGAAGGUACCCAGGGAUGCUGAAUGGCCUAACAGGAGGAAUCUGCUGGAACCCUAGGUUAGAGUUAAUGCUUGUAAGAGCUAAUACUUAGGGUGCACUAUUCUAAGUUCUUUGCCUGUAUUAAUUAAUUUAAUCCUCAUGACAAUCCAGUGUGAUUAAUUUUAUCAGUAGUAGUACCAUUUUCCAGAUGAGGAAACAGAGGCAGAGAGAGGGUAAGUUAUUUUCCCAAGUCUCAGAGCUGGUGAGUGCUGCAGCUGGGAUUCAGAGCCAGGGAAUCAGCUCAAAAGUCUGUGCUGAUAACUGUGGUUCUAGGAAGAGGUCCAGGAAUGGGUCCACCCAGAUCCAGCUCGAUGACCUGGGCCAGUUACUUGGACCCUGGAUUUGUUUUCACCUAUACACUGGAGGAGGGGUGGAGAAGAAUGAGUUGUGGUGAAGAGUAAAUGAGAUAGUGUGAGGGAAGAGUGCCUUGUAGGCUGGAGGGCUCUGGACACAUGUUCGUUGUGGUUAUUUAGUUUUCUACUGGGAGAGGAGAGGAGGCAGAGAGAUUGGCUUUUCCGAGGAACACCCAGCUGGUGCCCCAGAGACUCCAGGAUCCUUGGAGAGCCACUGAAGCUAGAGAGGAGAUGAAGGAGGCAGGACAGAAGGACUACAGGGAGGAGAGGAGAGGCUGGCAUUCGACCCAUUUCAGGGGUCUAUUCAGAUGCAGAGAUGGGGUUGAUGUGCCCACUUCCCAGCCGUCUUGGGGCCUCGGGACGUUGCACUGAAAUCAGUCACAGGAGCUCCUAUGCUGAGCUGGGCUCGGGCCUGCUAUCCUCACCCCUGAGGUUUCCAGAUGCUGCCCUAGGGCCCUUCCUCUAGCCCAGUUUGCUCUUCUCAACCCUCCUUCGCAUUCAUUUCCAAGACCAAAGAAAGCUCAGCCUGCAGCAGGACUCACAGCACUGUGUGUUGUGUUGUGUCCUUUCUCUUUUAUAUUUGCUGCAUUAUCACUCCCUCUCUGUCCGGAGAGCUCACCCAGCACAGGGAACUUGCUUAUUCCCAGAACGAGGCAGGGCCUUUCCUUGGGCAAGCCCUGGACACGUGUUUGUUGAAUGGAAUUCAGGAGCAGUCUGGGAGGUGGCCAGAGCCCUCCUUCCAGCUCCACUGUGUGGCUGUGGGUAAGUACAGGGAUCUCUGUGAGUCACAGUCUCCUCCUGAUGAAGACGGUUGGAUUGGACAACUCCGAGGGCUCCUUCAGCUCUGACUUUCCCAGGGUUCCAGAGAUGGAAGGGCCCGAGGUAUCUAAGAGGCUGUACACAUCAUUGCUAUGGUCUCAGUGGGCCAGACUGUAAGCCCAGCCCUUGUCGUCAAUGCCUGUUGAUUCCCACAGGUGGCUCUGAGGAGUCAUUUAGGACCCUGAGUGGGCAGAAUUAACACCAACUUUAUUCAUCUGGCAACAAGAAUUUGGUUGGCAAUAAAUUGCUUCUCCAGUGAGAGCAUAAUCACUUCUCAUCAGAUUAGUCCUCGCCAGGAGCUGUUCUGAAAUCCUUUCCAUGUCUGAUGCAUACAGCUCUGACUCCGAAGCAAAAAAAUGAAAAACAAAUGAGAUGAAAGAAUGAUGAAUUUGAUAAAGGGCAACGAUACCUGGGGGCUUUUCCUCCUGCAGAGAAGCUUGGAAGCCGGGGGUGGGUGACAGGUCAUUCGAAGAAGUCUGAGGGGGUGGGGUCAGCUGCUCCCCCACAGUCUCACUCCUAGGUUGCAUGAAAGCGAGUCUCAGAGCCAGUUUCUCCACACACAGACAUUUACACCCUGGCAAAGCAGGCAACCCAGCAGUUCCUACAACCUGUUCUGUGAGUCCAGGGAGGUCCCGGCUGUCUGUCCUUUUACAUCCAACCUCACCCUGUGUGAGGAUCACUUGAGGUAGACAUAACAAAAUUCCAGACAUGAGAUUUCUGUGUUCGUGUCAACAUCAGACAAGCAGAAAGCCUCCUAAACCAGUGGCCAGAGCCAGAGCCCUGCAUCAUGGUCACAGGUACAGGCUUCCCUGAGUUCUUCGGUCCUACUCAUGCAAAUGUCUCUGAAGUAUUUUCAGCUGGUCCCCAAAUCCUGAGCGCCUUUUAUUUCACCAAUGAAAGCUUGCUGGGGUCUGAAUGUUUGUGUCUCCACCAAAUUCAUGUGUUGAAAUCCUAAUCCCCAAGGUGAUCAUAUUAUGGGAAGUGGGGCCUUUGGGAGGUGAUUAGGUCAUGAGGGAAGCGCUUCCAUCAGUGGCACUAGCACCCUCAUAAAGAAGACCUCAGAGAGCUCCCUUCCCCUUCUGUCAUGUGAGGUCACAGCGAGGAGAAGACCAUCUCAGAACCAGAAGCUGGACCUCACCAAGCACUGAACCGGCUGGCGCCUUGGUCUUGGACUUCCCAGCCUCCAGGGUGUAAGAAAUAAAUUUCUGUUGUUUGUAAGCUA